GUUAAGUGUUUAUUAACAUUUGUCAAUAGUUCCAAUUUCUCCAGUAAAGAUAUAUUUUGUAUUAAUGUAUCAUUGUUUACGCAGCGGAAUUCACAGAUCAAAGUCAAAACACAACAUUCCAGAUUGCGGGGACCUCACUUCCUGUUUGACAGAGCCCACGUCAGCGAAAUGCACUUGUAGGACCGGAAGUAAAUCUCUACACGGGAAGUGAAUGGACACGCCAUCACGAGCUCACGAAAUGUUUGCGUCGUUUGUUGUCGCUAAAAUUCGAUCAAAUCCAGAAAUGACGAGGAAUUUUCAUCGCGUAUGAACAGCCGCUGGUCCAAAGAAGGAAAAUGCAAGAAACUGACCGAGAAACGCCGCCGAAAAUGGCUUUUAAACUUCACCUGGGAUUGUUUGGAGUGGAGUCGGACGGGGCUAACGCAGGUGUUUGCGGCCACCUCCUCGUCGAAGGCUUGAAACAACAUUGUGUCUAUAGACUGGGCUCCUACACAAGCUUGGGUACAAGAAGAGAGGAUGAAGUCCAGAGACGAUGAACAAAGACACACAGAGGCCUAACUGGAUCUCCACGAGUCAGCUGAGAACCUAGAGCCAGAGGACGUCACUGAGAUGUUACACGAUCAACAAGGUCCGUACUGCAAAGCAAGACUGAGGUUAAUCUGUGAGCCUGGAGACAAGAGAUUCUGCCUCAUCAGUGAUGGAGACGAUGUUUCAGCAGACAGGAGCUGUGCUGACUGCUUCCACAUCCAGGAUUAAAAUGUCAACCAGUGAAUACUUGACUUUGUAAAGAAGAGACCAGCAUGACGACAUCUGCAGAAGGUCAGUGUUAGUUUAUUUCUUUUCAGUCUGCCUCUGUCAUUAUCUUAGCUGCAGUUUGACACUUUAAAACCUGUUGUCUGGAACAAACAUCACUAAAUUAAAGCUGCUGUAGUUUAUCAGUUUUAAUUACUAUGAAUAUUUUCCCACAAUUUAACAGCAAAAAAUAAAGUGUUAAACCUUUAGAUGCAUGUGGCUAAAAUUUUAAGUAAUGAAAAACUUUUAAGUGUGUAACUGUAAAAUAUUCCUUGACAUAAAGCCUUUAACAUAAUAAUUGUAAAAACUUAAGUGAUCCAAAACCUUAGUGUGUAGCUGUAAAAGAAACUUGAGAUAUGUGAUUUAAAACCUUGAAAAUGUGUAUAGCUGCAAAAAAUUCCAUGACAUAAAGCCUUUAACAUAAUGAUAAUUGUUAAAACUUAAGUGAUCUCAAGUCUUUUAAGUCAUAUUAAAAAAGAGCAUGACGCUUAGCAAAGUAAAUUGUAUGAAGUAAAACACAGGAAAACGUAACUCAGAAGUAAGAAACUUUUAAUGAUUUUGUUCCAGACAACAAUUUUAACAAACUACACAAAGAUAAUGACAGACGUUUGACCACUGGGAGACGCUUUGUUUUCUUCUCCCACCGAACAGUAU
Long non-coding RNA from Lates calcarifer (barramundi perch), 1446 nucleotides. RefSeq lists it as uncharacterized. The transcript is spliced from 4 exons. Lineage: Eukaryota; Metazoa; Chordata; Actinopteri; Centropomidae. The record is from RefSeq and is a predicted model, not a curated record.